This is an RNA transcript of Octodon degus (degu), 699 nucleotides long. It is a transcript of the gene named SH3 domain-containing kinase-binding protein 1 pseudogene, with no coding region annotated. The transcript has a single exon. The record is from RefSeq and is a predicted model, not a curated record. Lineage: Eukaryota; Metazoa; Chordata; Mammalia; Rodentia; Octodontidae.
AUGAGACCCAAGAAACCACCACCUCCUUCCGCUCCUGUCAUCAAACAAGGGGCAGGUACCACAGAGAGAAAACAUGAAAUUAAAAAGAUACCUCCUGAAAGACCGGAAACACUUCCGAACAGAACUGAAGAAAAAGAAAGACCAGAACGAGAGCCAAAACUGGAUUUGCAGAAGCCCUCUGUUCCUGCCAUUCCACCAAAAAAGCCUCGGCCACCUAAGGCCAAUUCUCUCAGCUGGCCUGGUGCGCUGCCUCCGAGAAGGCCAGAGCGACCGGUGGGCCCACUGACACAUACCAGGGGUGACGGUCAAAAGAUUGAUUUGGCGGGCAGUACGCUAUCCAGCAUCUUGGACAAGGAUCUCUCAGAUUGCAGCAAUGACAUUGAUCUAGAAGGUUUUGACUCUGUGGUAUCAUCUACUGAGAAACUCAGUCACCCAACCACGAGCAGGCCAAAAGCUACAGGGAGGCGGCUGCCAUCCCAGUCGCUCACAUCUUCUUCCCUUUCAAGCCCCGAUAUCUUUGACUCCCCAAGUCCCGAAGAAGAUAAAGAGGAACACAUUUUGCUUGCGCACAGAGGACUAGACGUAUCCAAGAAGACUUCAAAGACUGUUACCAUAUCCCAAGUGUCCGACAACAAGGCAUCCCUGCCACCCAAGCCAGGGAUCAUGGCAGCCGGCAGUGGUGGACCAGCCUCUCUGGCC